RNAcentral lists this long non-coding RNA (881 nucleotides) under Homo sapiens (human). RNAcentral describes it as "HSALNT0123939". Lineage: Eukaryota; Metazoa; Chordata; Mammalia; Primates; Hominidae. The record is from RNAcentral.
GAGUUCACUGAGGCCCCCACUCUGCCGUUUUGGAACUGAUCUCAUUUCAUUUUAAUUAUUUAGGUAGCAUAUUUUAAUAUAAACCAACUUUCACUUAAUAGUUAUUUUUUCUAAAAUUUCUUAACUAUUGUCUGUUUGGCUAAUUUUUCAGUUGAAUGUUAGAAUCAUUUUCUUAAGCUCCAAAAAGAAAUUCUGAUAGAACUUGGGAUGUUAUUUUGCCAACAGAUCACCUUCUUAGAACAUUCAGGUUUCCCAUUCUCUCCCACUUUUAUACUGUUCAGCAAACUUAAUGAAUGUUUUCAUGUAGAUUGCAUUGUAUUUUCCUUAGACAUUUCAAAUGUUCUGUUGUGACUGUGAACUGGGCUUAAAGUGCUGUUAUUUUAAAUAUGAAUCAAUACAUCAAUAUUUUCUGGGAUGAAAGAAAAACACUCAUCUAUCAAUGAGAAUCAGGAGAUUGAGAUCACGAGGUCAGGAGAUUGAGACCAUCCUGGAUAACACAGUGAAACCCCGUCUCUACUAAAAAUACAAAAAAUUAGCCAGGCGUGGUGGCGGGUGCCUGUGGUCCCAGCUACUGGGGAGGCUGAGGCAGGACAAUGACGUGAACCUGGGAGACGGAGCUUGCAGUGAGCUGAGAUUGUGCCAUUGCACUCCAGCCUGGGCGACAGAGCGAGACUCUGUCUCAAAAAAAAAAAAAAGUUAAUGGAAUCAGGAGGGUUCAUUCUGUAGGUAAGAGGUUUGCUUUUUUUUUUUCUUUGAAACAAUAAAAUAUCUUUGUUCAAUUUAAAUCUUGAGGCCACUCAUGGUGGCUCACACUUAUAAUCACAGCACUUUGGGAGGCUGAGGUGGGCGGAUCACUUGAGGUCAGGAGUUUGAGACUAGCC